RNAcentral lists this ribosomal RNA (485 nucleotides) under uncultured Glomeromycotina. Its description in RNAcentral is "SSU rRNA". It matches the Rfam family "Eukaryotic small subunit ribosomal RNA", at positions 562 to 1052 of the family's 1831-position model. Lineage: Eukaryota; Fungi; Glomeromycota. The record is from RNAcentral.
UGGUGCCAGCAGCCGCGGUAAUUCCAGCUCCAAUAGCGUAUAUUAAAGUUGUUGCAGUUAAAAAGCUCGUAGUUGAAUUUCGGGAUUAGUACGUCGGUCGUGCCUUAGGUACGUACUGGUGUUACUGGUUCCUACCUUCUGACGAACCAUCAUGUCAUUAAUUUGGUGUGGUGGGGAAUCAGGACUGUUACUUUGAAAAAAUUAGAGUGUUUAAAGCAGGCUCGCGCUUGAAUACAUUAGCAUGGAAUAAUGAAAUAGGACGUUGAUCCUAUUUUGUUGGUUUCUAGGAUUGACGUAAUGAUUAAUAGGGAUAGUUGGGGGCAUUAGUAUUCAAUUGCCAGAGGUGAAAUUCUUGGAUUUAUUGAAGACUAACUACUGCGAAAGCAUUUGCCAAGGAUGUUUUCAUUAAUCAAGAACGAAAGUUAGGGGAUCGAAGACGAUCAGAUACCGUCGUAGUCUUAACCAUAAACUAUGCCGACUAGGGA